Termitomyces sp. Mi166#008 is the source of this 94-nucleotide non-coding RNA. The record is from the annotation of a GenBank genome assembly. NCBI's taxonomy places the organism in Eukaryota, Fungi, Basidiomycota, Agaricomycetes, Agaricales, Lyophyllaceae.
UCGGAUAUGGUGUAAUGGCUAACAUUGCCGCCUCUCAUUGUUGAGAGGUAACAGUUGUUCGCGGCAGCUCGGGGUUCGAUUCCCCGUAUCCGAA